RNAcentral lists this transfer RNA (78 nucleotides) under Gammaproteobacteria bacterium. RNAcentral's name for it is "tRNA-Val". It matches the Rfam family "tRNA". From Rfam's summary of the family: Transfer RNA (tRNA) molecules are approximately 80 nucleotides in length. Their secondary structure includes four short double-helical elements and three loops (D, anti-codon, and T loops). Further hydrogen bonds mediate the characteristic L-shaped molecular structure. tRNAs have two regions of fundamental functional importance: the anti-codon, which is responsible for specific mRNA codon recognition, and the 3' end, to which the tRNAs corresponding amino acid is attached (by aminoacyl-tRNA synthetases). tRNAs cope with the degeneracy of the genetic code in two manners: having more than one tRNA (with a specific anti-codon) for a particular amino acid; and 'wobble' base-pairing, i.e. permitting non-standard base-pairing at the 3rd anti-codon position. The record is from RNAcentral. Lineage: Bacteria; Pseudomonadati; Pseudomonadota; Gammaproteobacteria.
AGACACGUAGCUCAGUCUGGUUAGAGCACCACCUUGACAUGGUGGGGGUCGGUGGUUCAAGUCCACUCGUGUCUACCA